GAGCAUGCGCAGUGACGUGCUGCCGCCCGCUGCCGCUCGCGUCCCGACGUUAAUGAAGUCCACUUCGGGUUUUCCCAGAGGGUAGGGGCGGGGAAGUCGGCCGGAGCCUCUGAUUCUCCUGAAGCUGGAAGGGUUCUUUAGUUUCAAUUACUAAUGUGCUAGGAUGGAGGAACUGCAACCCGCAGCCGCGAAUAUCUUCUCCAUUUCCCCAGGGAAAACUGGCUUAAUAGAAAACGUUCUACACACAACCUUCUUGUAACUUGGAAAGUCCGCUUUUCUGGGUGGAAAUGAGCGAUAUCAGACCGAGGAGAGAGAGCACAAGCAAGCAGAGCAGUAAGCAGAGGGAGAGGGAGAAGCAGACACCUGCUGAGCAAGGAGCCCAACGUGGGACUUGAUCCCAGGACCCUGGGAUCAUGACCUGAGCCAAAGGCAGACACUUAAAGGACUGAACCACCGAGGUGCCCUAGAGAUACAUUCUUCAAGUUCCUCUCUGACCAGAUGAGCGCCCACUGACUACUGAACUGGAACAUCUUAUUUACAGGGUUUCAAAUCAACAGAAAAUUCAAAUACUUACAACUUCCCUUUAUAAUCUACCCUCAUGAGAAAAAGCAAUGACAAGUCAGCAAGUUAAUAUCAGUAAUUACAAAGUACAAUUUCCAAACAGAUGUGGGAAUUAACAUCAGAGAACCAAAAAAUGUAAAAUAGCAAAGAUAUCAGCAAAAAUUAAGAGAAGUAUUUUGAGGGGUACCUGAGUGGCUCACAUGGUUAAGCACCUGCCUUCUGCUCAGAUUAUGAUCUCCAGGUCCUGAGAUCAAGCCCCAGGUUGGACACCCAGUUCAGCGGGAAGUCUACUUCUCCC
This is a long non-coding RNA of Mustela lutreola (European mink), 859 nucleotides long. RefSeq lists it as uncharacterized. The transcript is spliced from 3 exons. Lineage: Eukaryota; Metazoa; Chordata; Mammalia; Carnivora; Mustelidae. The record is from RefSeq and is a predicted model, not a curated record.